UACGUAGGGGGCAAGCGUUGUCCGGAUUUAUUGGGCGUAAAGAGCGUGUAGGCGGCCAUACAGGUCAGCUGUGAAAACUCGAGGCUCAACCUCGAGACGUCGGUUGAAACCGUUUGGCUAGAGUCCGGAAGAGGAGAGUGGAAUUCCCGGUGUAGCGGUGAAAUGCGCAGAUAUCGGGAAGAACACCCGUGGCGAAGGCGGCUCUCUGGGACGGUACUGACGCUCAGGCACGAAAGCGUGGGGAGCAAACAGG
Molecule: ribosomal RNA, 253 nt
Filed under: uncultured bacterium
Lineage: Bacteria
Description: partial 16S ribosomal RNA
Rfam family: Bacterial small subunit ribosomal RNA
Source: RNAcentral